UACUACAAAGAAUCCACCCCUUCCUAUAAAUCCCCUCCCCCUCCACCAUACUACAAAGAAUCUACCCCUUCUUAUAAAUCCCCUCCACCUCCUCCAUACUACAAAGAAUCCAAACCUUCCUAUAAAUCCCCUCCACCUCCUCCAUACUACAAAGAAUCCACACCUUCCUAUAAAUCUCCUCCACCUCCACCAAAAUACUACGAGCAAUCACAUGCAACCUAUGCUUCACCUCCACCCCCACCAACCUACUAUUAAUAGUUACUAAUUCAAUCAUUUCCAUGAGUUCUAAAUCCUACUUCGAGUAUCUCUAUUUCCUCAGCCAUAAUCUCAUGUAUGCAUCAAGAAGGUUUUGCUUGUUUUGUAUGUUCGUUCCUUUUAAUAAUUUGUAAUAUGCAUUGUUUGAGAUCCUCAAGAUCUCCCUCAGUUUGGUUCAUUGUAUCAAGAUUCUUUUUGGUGUGAUCUCUUGCGAGUUCCACUUUGUGUAAUACUAUCUUCUUCUUUAUCAAAUAUUGUUUGUUCUUAUUGGAUGAGUUCUUUCAUUGUUCCAUAAGCAUUCACCUUCUGGAAAUAUAUGCUAAACUCUAACCACUUCUGAGUAUAGUGUCUGGCAAUUGUAUUCUUAACUUUUGAGAAAGUAAAAUUUCAUUAAACAAAAAGAAUAAGAAAGAAAUAAAGAUGCAUUUGAACUUAAGCAAAUGCAUCAUUUCAACGAUUCUGUUUCUAAUAACAAGAGCAGAGGAAAAAGACAACGUAGAGAAGCCAAGGCUUAUCAGCAUUUUUCUCUUCUAAGGCUACUCUUUUCAUUAUUGAUCUUUUCUUUUGUGAAGAUGCAACCUGGUUAAACUAAACUUAUAUGUGCAACUCCAAUCAUCAGUAAAAGGGUAAUCUUCUUAUGUAGUUAUUCAUAAGUUGUUACCCUCUAUGAACAUAAAAAGAAAAUACUGAUAUCAAUUUGACUUAAGAAGGAAAACCUAAGUUGCACGUACUCUUCACUUUCAAUGCUGCACCUGUGUUGGAUUCUCCGAAAAUACGCUACUUUUGGUGAAUCCGACACGGACCCACCGAUACUUUUGAAGAGUCCGAGCAACAUAGAGAAAAACAGAUUUGGUGAGGAAAAUAUGGAGUCUGAAUAAAUUAAACUCAGCUAAAGAAAAAAAUUAUUGAGUCUGAAUAAUGAAGAGUUAGCAAGACAUCAAGAUUUUUCAGUUAAAAGUGUUGUGACCCUCACUGUGGUUGGCGUUCUUAACGGAGAAUAUGUGAUAUUUGACUCUAAUUUUCUUAGUUGCAAUUUUCUCAACCUUUGUUUUGUGAUAAACAAAGGGGGGCUUUGAAGCAUAAAGGUUUAGAUAAAGAUUUUUUGGGAUUCAUAAGACUAAUUACAUACGAUUGCACACAAACUAUUGGGAUGAGCUCGCGCGUUGGGCAUUGGGUGCAUCUCAGGCGUACAUGCGGACACUUGAGCAGGGAUGGAGCUAGUAAGGGUACAGGGGGUUCAUACUCCCUUCUUCUUCUGUUUUUCUCUUUUUCAUUUUUACAUUUGUUCAUCAUGAGAAUUUUUUUUUUUGAAAGAAAAAAGUCAUGGAUAAAUGCUUCCCACUAAGUAUUGACCUUGUCUUUAUUUUGAUUUUGCUAUGUUCUUAGUGGCUAAUCAUGAAGCCAUUACAUUUAUUUGAAGAAGGAUGUCACUUUCCUACUAUAAAAACAGAUAUCCCUGCUCAGCUAUACAACACAAGUUUUAGUUUCAUCCUUCUUUUCACAAUCAAAAUGAGAAGCUUUGGUUAUUUGCUUGUUGCUACUUUAGCUAUUUGCUUUGUAGCCAGCACUGUUGUUGCUGAUUACUCUUAUGGCUAUACUUCUCCCUCACCUUCUUACACCUCUAAGAAGUACUACAAAUCACCAUCUCCAUCUAGCUAUCAUGUACCCACUCCAUACAACAAAAAACCAGAGAAACAUGCUGAACAUUCUCCGUCACACUAUUACAAGUCACCGGUGCCUUCCAAGCACGACUAUUACAAGUCCCCUACUCCUUCAAAGCAUUACUACAAAUCGCCAGUAGUAGUGAAGUAUUACAAAUCACCAGGUCCUUCAAAAAAUUACUACAAAGCGCCUUCCCAUUCAAAGAAAUACUACUACAAGGCACCUUCCCAUUCAAACAAGUACAACAAAUCGCCUGCCCCUUCAAAGCACUACUACAAGUCCCCAUCACCUGCAAAGUACUACAAAUCUCCAUCCCCUACAAAAUACUACAAGUCGCCUACUCCAUCAACACACGAUUACUACAACUCACCAUCCCCAUCAAAAUAUUACAAAUCACCCGCUCCUUCUAAAUACUAUAAAUCACCGUCACCAUCAAAAUAUUAUAAGUCACCAGUUUAUUACAAGUCUCCACCACCACCACCAGCUUAUUAUGAGAAAUCAACUUCUUACUACAAGUCCCCUCCCCCUCCACCGUACUACAAAGAAUCUACUCCUUCCUAUAAAUCUCCUGCCCCUCCAUCAUACUACAAAGAAUCUAUGCCUUCCUAUAAAUCCCCUCCCCCUCCCCCAUACUACAAAGAAUCCAGCCCUUCUUACUAUAAAUCCCCUCCACCUCCACCAUACUACAAGGAAUCUAACCCUUCCUAUAAAUCCCCUCCCCCUCCCCCAUACUACAAAGAAUCCACCCCUUCUUACAAAUCCCCUCCCCCACCACCAUACUACAAAGAAUCUACGCCUUCCUAUAAAUCCCCUCCUCCUCCUCCAUACUACAAAGAAUCCACCCCUUCCUAUAAAUCCCCUCCCCCUCCACCAUACUACAAAGAAUCUACCCCUUCUUAUAAAUCCCCUCCACCUCCCCCAUACUACAAAGAAUCCAUGCCUUCCUAUAAAUCCCCUCCACCUCCUCCAUACUACAAAGAAUCCACACCUUCCUAUAAAUCUCCUCCAC
RNAcentral lists this long non-coding RNA (2926 nucleotides) under Solanum pimpinellifolium. RNAcentral's name for it is "long non-coding RNA (SPIM_LNC000047)". The record is from RNAcentral. Lineage: Eukaryota; Viridiplantae; Streptophyta; Magnoliopsida; Solanales; Solanaceae.